AGAGUUUGAUUAUGGCUCAGAUUGAACGCUGGCGGCAGGCCUAACACAUGCAAGUCGAGCGGUAGAGAGAAGCUUGCUUCUCUUGAGAGCGGCGGACGGGUGAGUAAUGCCUAGGAAUCUGCCUGGUAGUGGGGGAUAACGUUCGGAAACGGACGCUAAUACCGCAUACGUCCUACGGGAGAAAGCAGGGGACCUUCGGGCCUUGCGCUAUCAGAUGAGCCUAGGUCGGAUUAGCUAGUUGGUGAGGUAAUGGCUCACCAAGGCGACGAUCCGUAACUGGUCUGAGAGGAUGAUCAGUCACACUGGAACUGAGACACGGUCCAGACUCCUACGGGAGGCAGCAGUGGGGAAUAUUGGACAAUGGGCGAAAGCCUGAUCCAGCCAUGCCGCGUGUGUGAAGAAGGUCUUCGGAUUGUAAAGCACUUUAAGUUGGGAGGAAGGGCAGUUACCUAAUACGUGAUUGUUUUGACGUUAUCGACAGAAUAAGCACCGGCUAACUCUGUGCCAGCAGCCGCGGUAAUACAGAGGGUGCAAGCGUUAAUCGGAAUUACUGGGCGUAAAGCGCGCGUAGGUGGUUAGUUAAGUUGGAUGUGAAAUCCCCGGGCUCAACCUGGGAACUGCAUUCAAAACUGACUGACUAGAGUAUGGUAGAGGGUGGGUGGAAUUUCCUGUGUAGCGGUGAAAUGCGUACAUAUAGGAAGGAACACCAGUGGCGAAGGCGACCACCUGGACUGAUACUGACACUGAGGUGCGAAAGCGUGGGGAGCAAACGGGAUUAGAUACCCUGGUAGUCCACGCCGUAAACGAUGUCAACUAGCCGUUGGGAGCCUUGAGCUCUUAGUGGCGCAGCUAACGCAUUAAGUUGACCGCCUGGGGAGUACGGCCGCAAGGUUAAAACUCAAAUGAAUUGACGG
Molecule: ribosomal RNA, 914 nt
Filed under: uncultured bacterium
Lineage: Bacteria
Description: bacterial SSU rRNA
Rfam family: Bacterial small subunit ribosomal RNA
Source: RNAcentral